Molecule: long non-coding RNA, 862 nt
Organism: Sycon ciliatum
Lineage: Eukaryota; Metazoa; Porifera; Calcarea; Leucosolenida; Sycettidae
Exons: 2
Source: RefSeq, a predicted model, not a curated record
AACAAUUACUUUGGUGUUUUGCAGCUCUAUUUCGUUCCCUAACGGUAACCAAAUCUAGAUGUAGGUAUCUGUUGAGCAGGAGAGUGACACAUGUCUUCCCGAAGGCUGUCCAGGCUGCAGUGGUGAUGAAGAAGACACGAUCAUCACCCCGAGAUCGAUUGUAGCGAAUUGGAAAACCCAUGGUGAAUUUGCUUCCACUCCAAGGCAAUGUCGAGACCAGAAUGCUUCGCUAUCAACUCCUGGCUUUCCAUCGGCAUGGUGUUCAGCUGCAGCGGCAUCUGGUCCGGGGAGUUGAAGUUGCUGGAUGGCUGCACUGACACAGGAUGGGUUUGCGUUGGCAAUGCAAUACGGCAGUCAUUCCACAUCAUGAGCUACAUGUUUAUGUAAUUUAUAUUGUCGCUCGUCCAGCAACGUCAAGGCUCUGCAUGUAAACACAGGAGAACACCAUAAUAAAAAAUACUACUCAUACUCAGGGGAUAAUAUAUUUGGAUUAGUAAUUUCGUGCCAUUUAUGGGUUCCUGUCUAAACCAUGCUGUGAUAUUGAUUUCUACCUGCUCACAAAGUACCUUGUAUUGUAACAAUGCUCUGCCUAAUCACUACCCUCCGCCAAUUAUUAGAUUCACACAAUAUUCACAACGUAUGCAACACAAUCCUGUCUAUUUACACUACUUCGAACUGAAAUGCUCACUCACUCUUCUCCCGUUUUCAGCUCCCUCUACCUUAUGAAUACUCUACAUUACUGGUUUCGUUUCUACCCUUUCCAUUGCUGCCAGCUCCCAGUCUUUUUCAAUGCACAGCACCACCUUGAAAUUUUUGUGAUUUGAUGUACACAUACUUUGAAGUUGAAAUUCGAACUACAUGA